UAGGGAAUCUUCCACAAUGGACGCAAGUCUGAUGGAGCAACACCGCGUGAGUGAAGAAGGGUUUCGGCUCGUAAAACUCUGUUGUUAAAGAAGAACAUAUCUGAGAGUAACUGUUCAGGUAUUGACGGUAUUUAACCAGAAAGCCACGGCUAACUACGUGCCAG
This 164-nucleotide ribosomal RNA is filed under the name uncultured bacterium. RNAcentral's name for it is "partial 16S ribosomal RNA". It matches the Rfam family "Bacterial small subunit ribosomal RNA", at positions 355 to 511 of the family's 1533-position model. The record is from RNAcentral.